Strigops habroptila (Kakapo) is the source of this 5014-nucleotide RNA transcript. It is a transcript of the gene named sorting nexin 31, with no coding region annotated. The record is from RefSeq and is a predicted model, not a curated record. NCBI's taxonomy places the organism in Eukaryota, Metazoa, Chordata, Aves, Psittaciformes, Psittacidae. The transcript is spliced from 15 exons.
AUGAAGCUGCACUUCAGCAUCCCCGCCGCCGAGGAGCUGCGGGAGAUGCGCGGGGGGCGCUACGUGCUGAGGCAGCUUUUUGGGAGUGCUGUGCCUGCUUUCCCUCCAAAGUUUUACCUGGCAAUGACCAAGUCGAUGGCAGAUGAGAGACAGUCUCAGCUGGAGCAGUACCUUCAGAAUGUUACUUUGGAUUCAAAUAUUACCAACAGUGAUGCCUUCAGAGGGUUUUUCCGAAAGCUACAGCAGGAUACAUUUAAGAUCCAAACCCAGAGAGCCUUUUUGGAUGUUUACCUCGCUGAUGGCAGUAAUAUUAGACUUGAGAUCCGGACAUCGGACAUUGCAGAAAGAAUAUUAGAGGUUACAUUGUGCAAGAUGGGGCUAUCAAGAGAAUUAAUAAACUAUUUUAGCUUAUUUUUCUUUCAAGAUCAUGAUGAUGGAGCGCUCUCUGUGGUGAAAAAAGUGGCAGAAUUUGAACUUCCUUAUGUGAGUCUUCAGAGCAUGAAGGAGUUGCAGUGUAAGCUUGGGAUCAGAAAGUGGUAUAUGGAUCCUUCUCUUGACAUACUGCUGAUGGAUUGUACAGCUUCACUGAAUUUGCUAUAUAUGCAGGCAAUCCAGGAAGUUAAGACGAAUUGGGUAAAACCAACAGAAGGGCAGAUGCAGGAACUUGAAUUUCUACAAAAAAAGGCAAACAAAGCAAAGUUCCUGGAGCUGAUUCGAGAAAUGCAGUUCUAUGGAUAUGUACGGCUCGACUCUUGCAUUUGUGACUAUCCAGAAGAAGGCUGCUCAGCAGACAUCUAUGUUGGCAAUAAUGAGAUUCACUGCGGCAUAAAAUUGCCUACUAACCAAACCAAAGAGGUCAGCUUUAAAAUCAACAGGUUAAGAAGUUGGCAGGUUACUUUUCUUGGUGCUACAAAGGAUGGUGAAGAAGACACUCUGGAGCUUAGAUUUGAGUACAAUGACUCAGGCACAUGGCAGUGGAUAAUUUUGUACACAAAACAGGCCUUUUUGCUCAGUAGCUGCUUGAAGAAAAUGAUAUCAGAACAGAUGAUGAAGGCAGCCAAAGAAGGCCAAGAAAUGGAGAUGAAGAUGCCUGAAUCCACGACAAACAGUCAGAAAUCCAGCAUCCAACAAAAGCAGGUUAGUCACCUACUCCAGAGAGAAUCAGAACAAUGUCCUACGUGUUUGUAAACGACUCUUCCCAGACAAAUGUGCCACUGCUGCAGGCUUGCAUCGAUGGAGAUUUUAACUAUUCCAAACGACUGCUAGAGAGCGGUUUCGACCCCAAUAUUCGUGACAGCCGAGGCCGAACUGGCCUUCACCUUGCUGCAGCCAGAGGAAAUGUGGACAUCUGUCAACUCUUGCAUAAAUUUGGUGCUGACUUACUAGCCACCGACUACCAAGGUAACACAGCCCUUCACCUGUGUGGGCAUGUGGACACCAUCCAGUUCCUAGUUUCUAAUGGACUUAAAAUUGAUAUUUGCAAUCACCAAGGUGCAACACCGCUUGUGCUGGCAAAACGAAGGGGUGUGAAUAAGGAUGUGAUUAGACUGCUGGAAUCUUUAGAGGAGCAAGAGGUGAAAGGAUUUAACAGAGGAGCUCACUCAAAGCUGGAAACCAUGCAAACUGCUGAAAGCGAAAGUGCAAUGGAAAGCCAUUCCCUCCUUAAUCCAAACCUACAGCAAGGUGAAGGAGUUCUUUCCAGUUUCCGGACGACAUGGCAAGAGUUUGUGGAAGACCUGGGCUUCUGGAGGGUCCUGCUCCUCAUCAUUGUCAUUGCUCUUCUGUCGCUUGGAAUAGCAUACUAUGUUAGUGGGGUGCUUCCUUUUGUAGAAAACCAGCCUGAACUGGUGCACUGAAGCAAAUGCGAAGAAGUGCACCAUGGUUUUCCCUGUUCUAAUGUUAUUUUGAGCUUCUUGGAAUUAUUGUCUUGGUGCAGGCAGUGGCAGCUGUAGAUACUGUUUGCCUUUUGUACUUAUUAUUAACCCCUUUGAAAGAGGGAUUCAUUCGUUUCAAGUAAAACACUAAAUUCUAAAGCAUUCCUAAGCUACCUCUGACUUACCUUGACUUGCAAAUAAGAUGUGAAGAUAAUCCUCUCUGUUGAUAAAAUAUUAUUAUUAGAAAAGGCCUUUCAUAAUGAAUACUAAAUUCCUGGGCGUGAGAAAUACAUCCUAGUACAGAACCAAAUUUGAUUUAUUUUCCCUAUGAAGAGGUAAAUCUAUUGUUGGAUUUUUUGUGUGUGCUCCAGUUGAAAGAAGAAUAUUCUUUUAGAAGUCCUCCUCAAGAAAUCUGAAUAAUAUAAUAAUGCAUACUGAUAUAUAGACAGUAAUAAGCUGCAACUUCGUAGUUCUUUUAAUGCCUCCCCAUAAUUUCAUAUCUGCUAGUUUAUGAAAAGAAUGAGAAAUAGUUUGAGUUUUUCUGUGUCUUUAAUGUAUAGAUCAUUCCUUUAUUUACUAGUUUAAUGUAGUGUUUCUUCCCUACAUGGAUUUAAUGUUGUUAAUACCUGCCUGAAGUAAAUCUUGUAGAACAAAGCUGCUUGUUGUGCUUUGGAAAUAAAGUUGUUUCAGCCUUAGGCUGAAAAUUUUGCCUUUUUGUUGAAAUGUUGCUAAGCAAACGUUUCUUUGUGAGGGUGGUUAAAAAGCGAUUUAGGUGUUCUGCUGUGUAUAUAGUAACUCUGUAAGGUCAUUGUGUUUGUGAAAUAUGUCAUGAAGGAUAACUUCUUAUUCUGCCCGCAGGGACCAGAGUGAACCAUACAAUUAGUAUUGUUUUCAUGUUUGUGGAGAGAACUAGAUUGAAUAGAAUUUGUUUAUUAUUACAUUAGUGCAUGGUAAUGGUGCUACCCCAUUUUACUGAGGUAGGUUGUUGCACAUUGGUAAUGAGCAUUUCAGACGUGGGGAGGUUCCUGCCCUGAGAAAUGGUAACCACACUCUCGGUAUAAAUGAGGUUUUAGAGCAUGGUUUCUUUAGAUUUGCCUGGUUUAUUUUCUCUGAUGUUACUGAAUUGAAGUUGCUGUCUGGUCUGUCUCUCUCUUAUGUAAGAUUUCAGGUAUUGAGCAUGUGGUCUAAAGGCCCCUUGAGAUUUAUGGUUAUCUAUGAGGGUGUACAAAGUGUAACCAAGAAAACAAAGUUUGAGCCUCAAGUAGCCUUUCCUACUUCGCUGUGCUUCACUUCUGCUGUAUGCAUAAGUAGCUUCAGAACUGUGCAUUGAAAAGGUUUGAAAAAUCAUGUGUAUGUUCCAAAUUAACGUAUUUUCACUUUUUAAACCCAAAGAGAUCCAAAGCAGUGUUUGAACUUCACUGUGUAAUGACUGCUACUCUUUGAAAUAAGGAUGUGAUAAACAUCUGACUACAAGAGGAGUUUGUUGUGUAUAUACCUCUGUUACUGAAAAAGGGCAGCUGUGCCUUCCAAUAUAACGGUAAACAUUAGCACCUUCCUUUUCAAAGGUUGAUUCUAAAGAAUUAAUUUACCUCCUGUACACUAGAUUUCAAGGAAUACAAUGUGUCUCUUUACAAACAGACUUUAGCCUACUUCCUCUUGAAGCUGUUGUCAUAGGGAGUUUUGCUGUUUCAGCAUAAUGAUAUAGAUCAGUUCAGAUUGUCUAUAGGGCAAUAAAAUUUCUUUUAUUUAGUUACUGUUGCAGUCUAGAUACCUUGAUCCAGGGAGUCCAUUUUGCUGAAGCGCUCUUCAAAUCCAAGAUAGGUUGUUGUUUCAAGCUGUUCUCAGGCUAAUGAGCUAAAACAGAAUAAGUAAUUGAGAGAGAAAACAAGCAUGGAGGGAUUAAGUGAUUUUUUCCAGUGUUAUAGAACUUGGUGGACAAGAUCAUGCAAGGUAAACUGGAGCGUAAAACAGGUGCAUUUAGGCUAUACUGCAGUGGGCUGUCCCUGUGCUCACGUUUAUUCCACACCUGUCUUACCUCAUAGUAGCUUGUUCAUGUACCAUAUAUUUUUAUCUUCAGUGCCUUCUGUUUUCACUCAUAUUGGUAGUUUGCUUUGUAGAAGGGGAUGAUCUGUUGUGUGACUGUCAUGGGUAGGUAUUGUUUCUGGUUGCCACAAUGCAACAGGUAUUUCAUUACUGGACAUGAUCUGGCGCUGUGAGGAGUAUCAUCAUGGAAAGCUCCUAUGAGAGGAAGAACAUGGUUUCACUUUAAAUUAUUGAAACAGAAGAUUUAGUCAGUUUUGGGGUCUGCAGCUGAUCUGGAGAUUGAUUUUAGCAUGAGUCAUCUCUGGUUUUAGUAUCUUAAUUCAAAAGUAUCACCUGGCCCAUAUAUUGUAGAUGGGCUAGGUAGCGAUUUUUCUAAUCAGAAUAUGUUUGGUCAUAAUACAUUAGAGAAAUGCAAAUUAAGUAAUUUAUUCAGAAAUUCAGUAGCAUCAUUUUAAAGUAAUACUAAAAAGUGCAAAUUGCAAAUGAAAACUCUCCUACAAACUCAAAAAAAAGGGUAGUGUUGUCGUCACAUUCAGAAUUUGCAGAAGUCUAGCAUAUGUUUAAAUGUUACCUGAAGUUGAAUUUUAACAGAGCUGAUUUCCUCAGCUGACACACAAGUUAACUUGUUUCUUUAAGCCAGUCGUUUUUGAAGUUGUUCCUGUUUCUGAAGCCAGCUCUUUGUUUAACUCAGAUUCGCAUUGGUGACUAAAAUAAGUCUUAAAUGACGUGAGAAUUACGUCAGAAUGCUUUUCCUUCGUUCAGUGUUCAUUUCUUACAUUUCAACGUUAAUCCUUGUAGAUUGGUUACUUGGGAUACACUUUCCUAAAUCAUCCAGAAUGAUGUAGAAAUUGUUGCAAAUCGUUACUGCAUUUCUCAUCCCUGGUGUUGGGGCUUUCUAGAAGAAUUCAAACGUCAUUGCACAGUUUCAUAACCUGCAGUUCUCUGUAAGUGCUGAAAUACUGUUGAAUCAUGAAUCUUGAAUCUCUAUUAACAUGAUGAAAUUAGUUUCUGGUGGCAGUCGAGAUAAUUCUGUACCUGCACUCGCAGGGUAGUGUGAUUCACCUGUUAUCUUAAACUUAUUAAAAUGCUUCAGCUGA